Molecule: long non-coding RNA, 1558 nt
Filed under: Homo sapiens (human)
Lineage: Eukaryota; Metazoa; Chordata; Mammalia; Primates; Hominidae
Description: HSALNT0165890
Source: RNAcentral
CUGGAGUGCAGUGGCGCAAUCUCAGCUAACUGAAACCUCUGCCUCCCGGAUUCAAGUGAUUUUCCUGCCUCAGCCUCUCCAGUAGCUGGGAUUACAGGCGUGUGCUACCAUGCCCAGGUAUUAGAAUAUUUAAAUGAUCUGAAACAAUAUUGGAAAAGAGGAUAUGGGUAUACUAUUAACAGUCGAUCCAGCUGCACCUUGUUUCAGGAUAUCUUUCAGCACUUGGACAAAGCAGUUGAACAGAAACAAAGGUCUCAGCCAAUUUCUUCUCCAGUCAUCCUCCAGUUUGGUCAUGCAGAGACUCUUCUUCCACUGCUUUCUCUCAUGGGCUACUUCAAAGACAAGGAACCCCUAACAGCGUACAAUUACAAAAAACAAAUGCAUCGGAAGUUCCGAAGUGGUCUCAUUGUACCUUAUGCCUCGAACCUGAUAUUUGUGCUUUACCACUGUGAAAAUGCUAAGACUCCUAAAGAACAAUUCCGAGUGCAGAUGUUAUUAAAUGAAAAGGUGUUACCUUUGGCUUACUCACAAGAAACUGUUUCAUUUUAUGAAGAUCUGAAGAACCACUACAAGGACAUCCUUCAGAGUUGUCAAACCAGUGAAGAAUGUGAAUUAGCAAGGGCUAACAGUACAUCUGAUGAACUAUGAGUAACUGAAGAACAUUUUUAAUUCUUUAGGAAUCUGCAAUGAGUGAUUACAUGCUUGUAAUAGGUAGGCAAUUCCUUGAUUACAGGAAGCUUUUAUAUUACUUGAGUAUUUCUGUCUUUUCACAGAAAAACAUUGGGUUUCUCUCUGGGUUUGGACAUGAAAUGUAAGAAAAGAUUUUUCACUGGAGCAGCUCUCUUAAGGAGAAACAAAUCUAUUUAGAGAAACAGCUGGCCCUGCAAAUGUUUACAGAAAUGAAAUUCUUCCUACUUAUAUAAGAAAUCUCACACUGAGAUAGAAUUGUGAUUUCAUAAUAACACUUGAAAAGUGCUGGAGUAACAAAAUAUCUCAGUUGGACCAUCCUUAACUUGAUUGAACUGUCUAGGAACUUUACAGAUUGUUCUGCAGUUCUCUCUUCUUUUCCUCAGGUAGGACAGCUCUAGCAUUUUCUUAAUCAGGAAUAUUGUGGUAAGCUGGGAGUAUCACUCUGGAAGAAAGUAACAUCUCCAGAUGAGAAUUUGAAACAAGAAACAGAGUGUUGUAAAAGGACACCUUCACUGAAGCAAGUCGGAAAGUACAAUGAAAAUAAAUAUUUUUGGUAUUUAUUUAUGAAAUAUUUGAACAUUUUUUCAAUAAUUCCUUUUUACUUCUAGGAAGUCUCAAAAGACCAUCUUAAAUUAUUAUAUGUUUGGACAAUUAGCAACAAGUCAGAUAGUUAGAAUCGAAGUUUUUCAAAUCCAUUGCUUAGCUAACUUUUUCAUUCUGUCACUUGGCUUCGAUUUUUAUAUUUUCCUAUUAUAUGAAAUGUAUCUUUUGGUUGUUUGAUUUUUCUUUCUUUCUUUGUAAAUAGUUCUGAGUUCUGUCAAAUGCCGUGAAAGUAUUUGCUAUAAUAAAGAAAAUUCUUGUGACUUUA